RNAcentral lists this long non-coding RNA (924 nucleotides) under Homo sapiens (human). Its description in RNAcentral is "HSALNT0296870". The record is from RNAcentral. Lineage: Eukaryota; Metazoa; Chordata; Mammalia; Primates; Hominidae.
GAAGAAAUCUGCCAACACCCAUUGCUCCAGCAAGCACGAUGGGAACCCAUGGGCAACUCCCCUUCUCCCAUCAUCCCCCUUUAGACAGUCACUUCUCAGAAGUUUCCAGAAAGUUCUAAAAACUGGAGGCAGCAUCAUCAUUAUAAGGGAAAGAGAUGAAUGAAUGUGAAAGCAGCCUGAAGACGUGCCUGUUCUUCUCAGACCAUCUCAGUUUCGGGGCUUGAAAGAUGCUGCUGUGCCUUGUUACCUGGGAACUUGCUUUAUUCUCUGUGCCACAGAGAAAACAAUAAAAAUCCCAUCUCUUCAUUAUCUGGGCUGAUAGAGGAAGAGGCUUAGCCAACUAAACAUGAUGGAUAAGACGAAAGUCAUUUAUCAUAUUUGGUUUUGAGAUGUGGUUAGAGACACAUUCUGAGACACAAAACUAUCUUUGCCCAUCUGGAAACCAUCCCAAACCCUCCUAGCCUGGCCUUAGUCCCAGUCUGGGGUUUGGCCACACUGUGGAAGAAAGCCCUGGGCUGUGUAGAUAAACCACAUGAGGGUAAGCUACUGUUAACUCUGUCAUUAUUCAUAAUAUUCAAUUCAACAACCAUGUAUGAGCACAACCAUGUGCAAGACAUUGUGUGGACAAAGCAGCCUACGGGCCAUACAAAGAAAGACUUCUUAUUGUCCCCAGAAACAUAGGAGGAGGCAGGAGUCUGUUCAUAAUUAUCCAUAUGACAUGAGCAACAAUAAAGAUACUAAUAAAGUGUUAUGGAGGCUGGGCACGGUGGCUCACAUCUGUAAUCCCAGCACUUUGGGAGGCCAACGCAGGUGGAUCAUUUGAGGUCAGGAGUUCAAGACUAGCCUAGCCAACCUGGUGAAACCCCGUAUCUACUAAAAACACAAAAAUUAGCUGGGUGGUAGUGGCACGCACCUGUAAUCCCA